RNAcentral lists this ribosomal RNA (2890 nucleotides) under Aeromonas sp. FDAARGOS 1416. RNAcentral's name for it is "23S ribosomal RNA". It matches the Rfam family "Bacterial large subunit ribosomal RNA". Lineage: Bacteria; Pseudomonadati; Pseudomonadota; Gammaproteobacteria; Aeromonadales; Aeromonadaceae. The record is from RNAcentral.
GGUUAAGUGACUAAGCGUACAUGGUGGAUGCCUUGGCAGUCAGAGGCGAUGAAGGACGUACUAACCUGCGAUAAGCUGUGAGAAGUCGGUAAGAGACGCUAAUUACUCACAGAUUUCCGAAUGGGGAAACCCACCCAAGAUAACUUGGGUAUCGUUACAUGAAUACAUAGUGUAACGAGGCGAACCGGGAGAACUGAAACAUCUAAGUACCCCGAGGAAAAGAAAUCAACCGAGAUUCCCUCAGUAGCGGCGAGCGAACGGGGAUUAGCCCUUAAGCAUCUUGGAAGUUAGUGGAACGGUCCUGGAAAGGCCGGCGAUACAGGGUGAUAGCCCCGUACACGAAAACAACCUUGAUGUGAAAUCGAGUAGGGCGGGACACGUGACAUCCUGUCUGAAUAUGGGGGGACCAUCCUCCAAGGCUAAAUACUCCUGACUGACCGAUAGUGAACCAGUACCGUGAGGGAAAGGCGAAAAGAACCCCUGUGAGGGGAGUGAAAUAGAACCUGAAACCGUGUACGUACAAGCAGUGGGAGCCCUUCGGGGUGACUGCGUACCUUUUGUAUAAUGGGUCAGCGACUUACAUUUUGUAGCGAGGUUAACCGUAUAGGGGAGCCGUAGGGAAACCGAGUCUUAACUGGGCGUCUAGUUGCAAGGUGUAGACCCGAAACCGGGUGAUCUAGCCAUGGGCAGGUUGAAGGUUGAGUAACAUCAACUGGAGGACCGAACCCACUAACGUUGCAAAGUUAGGGGAUGACCUGUGGCUGGGGGUGAAAGGCCAAUCAAACUCGGAGAUAGCUGGUUCUCCCCGAAAGCUAUUUAGGUAGCGCCUCGGACGAAUACUACUGGGGGUAGAGCACUGUUUGGGCUAGGGGGUCAUCCCGACUUACCAACCCCAUGCAAACUCCGAAUACCAGUAAGUACUAUCCGGGAGACACACGGCGGGUGCUAACGUCCGUCGUGAAGAGGGAAACAACCCAGACCGCCGGCUAAGGUCCCAAAGUUCUGGUUAAGUGGGAAACGAUGUGGGAAGGCUCAGACAGCUAGGAUGUUGGCUUAGAAGCAGCCAUCAUUUAAAGAAAGCGUAAUAGCUCACUAGUCGAGUCGGCCUGCGCGGAAGAUGUAACGGGGCUCAAACCAGGCACCGAAGCCGCGGAUUUGCACUUAGUGCAAGUGGUAGGGGAGCGUUCUGUAAGUCUGCGAAGGUGUAUCGAGAGGUAUGCUGGAGAUAUCAGAAGUGCGAAUGCUGACGUAAGUAACGAUAAAGGGGGUGAAAAGCCUCCUCGCCGGAAGACCAAGGGUUCCUGUCCAACGUUAAUCGGGGCAGGGUGAGUCGACCCCUAAGGUGAGGCCGAAAGGCGUAAUCGAUGGGAAGCAGGUUAAUAUUCCUGCACGACUUGUAAUUGCGAUGGGGGGACGGAGAAGGCUAGGUGGGCCAGGCGACGGUUGUCCUGGUGAAAGUGCGUAGGUGGUGUUUCUAGGCAAAUCCGGAGACACAACACUGAGACACGAGACGAACACACUACGGUGUGGAAGCCAUUGAUGCCCUGCUUCCAGGAAAAGCCUCUAAGCUUCAGAUUACAAGUCAUCGUACCCCAAACCGACACAGGUGGUCGGGUAGAGAAUACCAAGGCGCUUGAGAGAACUCGGGUGAAGGAACUAGGCAAAAUAGAACCGUAACUUCGGGAGAAGGUUCGCUCUUGACAGUGAAGUCCCUUGCGGAUGGAGCAGUUGGGAGUCGCAGUGACCAGAUGGCUGGGACUGUUUAUCAAAAACACAGCACUCUGCAAACACGAAAGUGGACGUAUAGGGUGUGACACCUGCCCGGUGCCGGAAGGUUAAUUGAUGGGGUUAGCGCAAGCGAAGCUCUUGAUCGAAGCCCCGGUAAACGGCGGCCGUAACUAUAACGGUCCUAAGGUAGCGAAAUUCCUUGUCGGGUAAGUUCCGACCUGCACGAAUGGUGUAACCAUGGCCAUGCUGUCUCCACCCGAGACUCAGUGAAAUCGAAUUCGCCGUGAAGAUGCGGUGUACCCGCGGCUAGACGGAAAGACCCCGUGAACCUUUACUACAGCUUGGCACUGAACAUUGAACCUACAUGUGUAGGAUAGGUGGGAGGCUUUGAAGGCGUGACGCCAGUUGCGCUGGAGCCGUCCUUGAAAUACCACCCUUGUAUGUUUGAUGUUCUAACGCAGGGCCCUGAAUCGGGCUCGCGGACAGUGCCUGGUGGGUAGUUUGACUGGGGCGGUCUCCUCCCAAAGAGUAACGGAGGAGCACGAAGGUUGGCUAAUCCUGGUCGGACAUCAGGAGGUUAGUGCAAUGGCAUAAGCCAGCUUAACUGCGAGACGGACAGGUCGAGCAGGUACGAAAGUAGGUCAUAGUGAUCCGGUGGUUCUGAAUGGAAGGGCCAUCGCUCAACGGAUAAAAGGUACUCCGGGGAUAACAGGCUGAUACCGCCCAAGAGUUCAUAUCGACGGCGGUGUUUGGCACCUCGAUGUCGGCUCAUCACAUCCUGGGGCUGAAGUCGGUCCCAAGGGUAUGGCUGUUCGCCAUUUAAAGUGGUACGCGAGCUGGGUUCAGAACGUCGUGAGACAGUUCGGUCCCUAUCUGCCGUGGGCGUUGGAUGAUUGAAGGGAGUUGCUCCUAGUACGAGAGGACCGGAGUGAACGAACCUCUGGUGUUCGGGUUGUCACGCCAGUGGCACUGCCCGGUAGCUAAGUUCGGAAUCGAUAACCGCUGAAAGCAUCUAAGCGGGAAGCGAGCCCUGAGAUGAGUCAUCCCUGACCCCUUGAGGGUCCUAAAGGGCCGUUGGAGACCACAACGUUGAUAGGUGGGGUGUGUAAGUGCAGCGAUGCAUUGAGCUAACCCAUACUAAUUACCCGUGAGGCUUAACCAU